Molecule: ribosomal RNA, 477 nt
Filed under: uncultured bacterium
Lineage: Bacteria
Description: bacterial SSU rRNA
Rfam family: Bacterial small subunit ribosomal RNA
Source: RNAcentral
CAGGACGAACGCUGGCGGCGUGCCUAACACAUGCAAGUCGAGCGAGGAGAUCCUUCGGGAUGAUCCUAGCGGCGGACGGGUGAGUAACACGUGGGCAACCUGCCUCAUAGAGAGGAAUAGCCUUCCGAAAGGGAGAUUAAUACCUCAUAACAUUGCAGUUUCGCAUGGAACAGCAAUUAAAGGAGUAAUCCGCCAUGAGAUGGGCCCGCGGCGCAUUAGCUAGUUGGUGAGGUAACGGCUCACCAAGGCGACGAUGCGUAGCCGACCUGAGAGGGUGAUCGGCCACAUUGGGACUGAGACACGGCCCAGACUCCUACGGGAGGGCAGCAGUGGGGAAUAUUGCACAAUGGGGGAAACCCUGAUGCCAGCAACGCCGCGUGAGUGAUGACGGCCUUCGGGUUGUAAAGCUCUGUCUUCAGGGACGAUAAUGACGGUACCUGAGGAGGAAGCCACGGCUAACUACGUGCCAGCCGCGGC